GCGGCGGCCCUGGAUAAAAGGCAGUGCUGGGUCUGCCCCCUGAUGACAAAGAGACCACCUCCGCCACACCUUCCGCGCAGGCUGGGUGACCCUGCAAAAAGCACGGAAUGUAGGAAACCCAGAUCGUAACCGUUUCCACCCUGGAGCGACCAAAUGAGGAAGCUGGCAAAGCAGUUGUUUCACAAGAAGUUUUGGGAAUCUGCAGCAUGGGAAAGUCGGACCUUACAGUUUCACAUGGGCUAAAGAGGAAAGGGGAAAGAAUGCAAAGGACAGACGUAUGUCUACAGGCCUUGGCAUGAAUAACCUGGUGGCACAAUCUGGAUGCCCAGGAAGCUUCUGGUUCCCACGUUUGGGGGCAUAACAGUUCGCUUCAAACCCCUAAUUGCUCUGCACUCACGUGGCACAGAAAGAGGCCAGGAAGGACCCACUGCAAAGGAGAGAAGCAGAAGCUGAACUGGCGUUCCGUGCACCGCCUGGUCCCACCCCAAGCUCCCGAGGCUGGGGCGUCCGGGGAGCCAUGCCCCGAGCAGACAGACCGCCCCUGGAGGCAUGAUGGAGGGACUUAACCUUGAUGAAUGGCCGAUGAGUUGCUGCUCAGACCUAUCCUAUUCUACCAAGUCCCCAGUCCCAUUUCUGCAAGGUCUCUCUGCCACACACCGUAAUAAGCAACAAUUUAACCAUAAGCAGACUUGAGAAUUAACUACAAAAUAAGAAGGGACUA
Molecule: long non-coding RNA, 721 nt
Organism: Manis javanica (Malayan pangolin)
Lineage: Eukaryota; Metazoa; Chordata; Mammalia; Pholidota; Manidae
Source: RefSeq, a predicted model, not a curated record